GUCUGUGGCCAUACCACCCUGAACACACCCGAUCUUGUCUGAUCUUGGAAGGUAAGUAGGAUCGGGCUUGGUUAGUACUUGCAUGGGAGAAAUCAGUGCGCAGCAACAGGCA
Molecule: ribosomal RNA, 112 nt
Filed under: Castor canadensis (American beaver)
Lineage: Eukaryota; Metazoa; Chordata; Mammalia; Rodentia; Castoridae
Source: RNAcentral